UCAAGGCUGCUUUCCAACUUGACCGUGGCCACAAAAGCACAGACCCCACGGCUUCUUGGCAAUUAAAUGGUUUUCACACUUCUAUUUUUAAAAGGCUUGGAAACGAGGAACGUAGGGGAUCAGGGCGGUUGGGUAAACGAAUGUCUUUCCAAAGUUCUGCUAGCCAGAGGCCCUGUCCUGGCAGGGGUCCCAAAGCAACUGUGAAACCAAGAUGCCACGACAGGGCCCGGUCUGCAAGCCUGUUCCUCAGAUGGGAAAAACAGAAACAUCCCAGUCCCUCAGUCUGUCCUAUGUGACGACAAAGAGUUCGUGUCCCCAAGUGGUCCAGAUGAUUGUCCCCUGCUCUGCACGGGAAUGUAAAGCUUUCACAUUUGGGAUUCUAUUGCACGGGUCCCGGGAAGCCGACUCAGAUGGAGAAGAAUUAUCUUGGCUGCUGUUCAGAGAAUGGCCGGGAGCUGGAGUUUGCAGCCCCAGAUGCUCGGAGAAUGGCGUGUCCCCAGAGUCUGCAGCCCCAGAUGCACUGGAAGCACAGAGAGGUUUGAGAAGAACUCAGCCCGGGCCUCACCUCCAGACAUCCCCAUCCAGUUGGUCUGUGGGGAGGCAAAGUGAAGAGGGGCGCAGUGGUCCAGCCAGGUGAUGAGAGCACCUUGGACAGGAAGGGAGCUAAACUACCUGUCAGGUUCAAAAGCCAAGCCCAUCAGCCCUGGGUGUGGGUUUGUCGGAAAGGACAAGAAAGGACUCUGCCCGGAGGAGUCCGCUCUCCUGCCAGGAAGAGGAGGACGUGGCCGUUAGACAGCAAGCCCCACAGCUGUCUGAAGGAGGGUGAAACGUGUGCCUGCAGGAGUGAAGUUUCGAGUUAACCCCCGGAGAGGGCAGCCCUGAUGGAGAAAACCCAAGAAGGAAAGUGCGGAGGUGGGAAAUUAUCUGAUGUGCUGUGUGGCUGGCACACGAAGCUAGGUAGGAAAAAAUGGGCUUCUUGCAAGGACUGGCUGAACCGCCAUCUCUUUCCCACUGACUUCGCCCUGGAAUUUCAUCAGCCCCGGGUUAUUUUGGGCCUUUCGUUUCUCCUCACCGGAGGUCGAGCCACUGUCUCUUGAUAUUCUGACUUCAGAACGGAUGAAAGUCUGAGAUUUCAAUCAAAAGCUUAAGAAAAUAAUAAUCCUUGGUUGCCCUAAUUCUUUCCUG
This 1185-nucleotide long non-coding RNA is filed under the name Equus caballus (horse). RNAcentral's name for it is "lncRNA (ENSECAG00000028762.3)". The record is from RNAcentral. Lineage: Eukaryota; Metazoa; Chordata; Mammalia; Perissodactyla; Equidae.